RNAcentral lists this unclassified non-coding RNA (1573 nucleotides) under uncultured fungus. RNAcentral's name for it is "sequence contains 18S rRNA gene, ITS1, 5.8S rRNA gene, ITS2, 28S rRNA gene". The stretch from base 590 to 1573 matches the Rfam family "Eukaryotic large subunit ribosomal RNA", at positions 1 to 961 of the family's 3401-position model. The record is from RNAcentral. Lineage: Eukaryota; Fungi.
GGAAGGAUCAUUAUCGUACAACGAGGGAGGCCCGAGGGCUGUCGCUGACCCCCUUCUGAAGCGGGGGGGGGUCGUGCACGCCGUCGGUGCCGUCCUCAACACAAUCAAAUCCACCUCACCCUUUUGUGCAUCGCCGCGUGGGUUCCGGAAGGGGCCUGCGCCUUUUACACACACAUGAUUCAGUGUAGAAUGUCCUUUGCAUUUGUAUGCAAUCAAUACAACUUUCAACAACGGAUCUCUUGGCUCUCGCAUCGAUGAAGAACGCAGCGAAAUGCGAUACGUAAUGUGAAUUGCAGAAUUCAGUGAAUCAUCGAAUCUUUGAACGCACCUUGCGCCCCUUGGCAUUCCGAGGGGCACACCCGUUUGAGUGUCGUGAAAUCCUCAACCCUUCUUUGUUUCUUUUCGAUUCGAAGAAAGGCUUGGAAUUUGGAGGCUUUUGCUGGCCUUUCUUGAAGCCAGCUCCUCUUAAAUGCAUUAGCAGGGUCUCCUCAGCUGGAUCCCUUGACGUGAUAAGCCUUUUACGUCUCAAAGGGUUUUCUGGCUCUGCCCGCUUCCAAUUGUCUCGUCGAGACAAACCUUUUUGAACCCUUGACCUCAAAUCGGGUGAGACUACCCGCUGAACUUAAGCAUAUCAAUAAGCGGAGGAAAAGAAACUAACAAGGAUUCCCCUAGUAACUGCGAGUGAAGCGGGAAAAGCUCAAAUUUAAAAUCUGGCGGUCUUUGGCCGUUCGAGUUGUAAUUUAGAGAAGCGUCUUCCGCGCUGGACCGUGCACAAGUCUCCUGGAACGGAGCGUCAUAGAGGGUGAGAAUCCCGUCUUUGGCACGGAACCCCGGUGCUUCUGUGAUGCGCUCUCGAAGAGUCGAGUUGUUUGGGAAUGCAGCUCAAAAUGGGUGGUGAACUCCAUCUAAAGCUAAAUAUUGGCGAGAGACCGAUAGCGAACAAGUACCGUGAGGGAAAGAUGAAAAGCACUUUGGAAAGAGAGUGAAACAGUACGUGAAAUUGUUGAAAGGGAAACGCUUGAAGUCAGUCGCGUCGAUCGAGACUCAGCCUUGCCUCGGCUUGGUGUACUUCUCGACAGACGGGCCAGCAUCAAUUUUGCCUCUCGGAUAAUGGCAAGGGAAAGGUGGCACCCUUACGGGUGUGUUAUAGUCUCCUGUCGCAUGCGAGGGGUGGGAUUGAGGAACUCAGCACGCACCUUUCAGGUGUCGGGGCUUCGGCCCACGUUACGUGCUUAGGAUGUUGGCGUAAUGGCUUUAAACGACCCGUCUUGAAACACGGACCAAGGAGUCUAACAUGCCCGCGAGUGUUCGGGUGGAAAACCCGUGCGCGAAAUGAAAGUGAAAGUUGGGACCUCUGUCGUGGAGGGCACCGACGCCCGGACCAGACCUUCUGUGACGGCUCUGCGGUAGAGCGUGCAUGUUGGGACCCGAAAGAUGGUGAACUAUGCCUGAAUAGGGUGAAGCCAGAGGAAACUCUGGUGGAGGCUCGUAGCGAUUCUGACGUGCAAAUCGAUCGUCAAAUUUGGGUAUAGGGGCGAAAGACUAAUCGAACCAUCUAGUAGCUGGUUCCUGC